This 28-nucleotide non-coding RNA is filed under the name Cricetulus griseus (Chinese hamster). Lineage: Eukaryota; Metazoa; Chordata; Mammalia; Rodentia; Cricetidae. The record is from RNAcentral.
UCAGUGACUUGUACAUUCAGCAGUAGCA